ACUCCUACGGGAGGCAGCAGUAGGGAAUCUUCCACAAUGGACGCAAGUCUGAUGGAGCAACGCCGCGUGAGUGAAGAAGGCUUUCGGGUCGUAAAACUCUGUUGUUAGAGAAGAACGUGUGUGAGAGUAACUGUUCAUGCAGUGACGGUAUCUAACCAGAAAGCCACGGCUAACUACGUGCCAGCAGCCGCGGUAAU
Molecule: ribosomal RNA, 197 nt
Filed under: uncultured Lactobacillus sp.
Lineage: Bacteria; Bacillati; Bacillota; Bacilli; Lactobacillales; Lactobacillaceae
Description: partial 16S ribosomal RNA
Rfam family: Bacterial small subunit ribosomal RNA
Source: RNAcentral